GCGCACCAGUCGAGAAAACUUCACACUGUGCGAAAGCACGGUGAGGGAAUCCCAAGUGCUUGCACGUAAGUGUAAGCUGUUUCUCUGUCUAAAACGCAGAGAGAGUAAGGGCUGGGUAAGACGGGUGCCAGCCGCCGCGGUAAUACCUGCAGCUCAAGUGGUGACCGUUAUUAUUGGGCCUAAAACGUCCGUAGCCGGUUUAAUAAAUGCCUGGGUAAAUUGUGUAGCUUAACUAUACGAAUUCCGGGUAGACUGUUAAACUUGAGACCGGGAGAAGUUAGAGGUACUCCUGGGGUAGAGGUGAAAUUCUGUAAUCCUAGGGGGACCACCAGUGGCGAAGGCGUCUAACUAGAACGGGUCUGACGGUGAGGGACGAAGCCCUGGGGCGC
RNAcentral lists this ribosomal RNA (389 nucleotides) under uncultured microorganism. RNAcentral's name for it is "bacterial SSU rRNA". It matches the Rfam family "Archaeal small subunit ribosomal RNA", at positions 330 to 720 of the family's 1478-position model. The record is from RNAcentral.